UGGGGAAUUUUGGACAAUGGGCGCAAGCCUGAUCCAGCCAUGCCGCGUGCAGGAUGAAGGCCCUCGGGUUGUAAACUGCUUUUGUACGGAACGAAAAGCCUCUUUCUAAUAAAGAGGGGUGAUGACGGUACCGUAAGAAUAAGCACCGGCUAACUACGUGCCAGCAGCCGCGGUAAUACGUAGGGUGCGAGCGUUAAUCGGAAUUACUGGGCGUAAAGCGUGCGCAGGCGGUCUUGCAAGACAGAUGUGAAAUCCCCGGGCUCAACCUGGGAACUGCAUUUGUGACUGCAAGGCUAGAGUGCGUCAGAGGGAGGUGGAAUUCCGCGUGUAGCAGUGAAAUGCGUAGAGAUGCGGAGGAACACCGAUGGCGAAGGCAGCCUCCUGGGAUGACACUGACGCUCAUGCACGAAAGCGUGGGGAGCAAACA
RNAcentral lists this ribosomal RNA (427 nucleotides) under uncultured bacterium. Its description in RNAcentral is "bacterial SSU rRNA". It matches the Rfam family "Bacterial small subunit ribosomal RNA", at positions 355 to 774 of the family's 1533-position model. The record is from RNAcentral.